RNAcentral lists this non-coding RNA (29 nucleotides) under Mus musculus (house mouse). The record is from RNAcentral. Lineage: Eukaryota; Metazoa; Chordata; Mammalia; Rodentia; Muridae.
UNCCUAGUGAACACUGAGUUCCAGCCUGC